Molecule: small nucleolar RNA, 105 nt
Filed under: Aspergillus wentii DTO 134E9
Lineage: Eukaryota; Fungi; Ascomycota; Eurotiomycetes; Eurotiales; Aspergillaceae
Description: A. fumigatus snoRNA Afu_190
Rfam family: A. fumigatus snoRNA Afu_190
Source: Rfam by way of RNAcentral
AUAUGAUGAGAUUAUCUAGCUGGCACCAGUCAGAGAAGGAGGAUCAUCGAUCCAUCCUUGUUGCUGAUUAGCUCAGGUCCGGGAACGCUACCCGCGAUCUCUGAA